UGACCUCGGAUCAGGUAGGGAUACCCGCUGAACUUAAGCAUAUCAAUAAGCGGAGGAAAAGAAACCAACAGGGAUUGCCUCAGUAACGGCGAGUGAAGCGGCAAGAGCUCAAAUUUGAAAUCUGGCAUCCACCGGGUGUCCGAGUUGUAAUUUGGAGAGGCAUCUUCCUGGUUAGGCGCUUGCCUAUGUUCCUUGGAACAGGACGUCGCAGAGGGUGAGAAUCCCGUGCACGGCAAGCCCGCCUAUACCGCUGUGAAGCGCCUUCGAAGAGUCGAGUUGUUUGGGAAUGCAGCUCAAAAUGGGUGGUAAAUUUCAUCUAAAGCUAAAUACCGGCGAGAGACCGAUAGCGCACAAGUAGAGUGAUCGAAAGAUGAAAAGCACUUUGAAAAGAGAGUUAAAAAGUACGUGAAAUUGUUGAAAGGGAAGCGCUUGAGACCAGACUCGGGCCUUGGUGAUCAGCGGUCCUUCUGGGCCGUGCACUCGCCUUGGCUUCGGGCCAGCAUCGGUUGGGAUGGCGGGAUAAAGGCCCUGGGAAUGUGGCUCCUCUCGGGGAGUGUUAUAGCCCUGGGCGCAAUGCCGCCGAUGACUCCGACCGAGGAACGCGCCUUCACCGGCACGGAUGCUGGCGUAAUGGUCUUCAGCGACCCGUCUUGAAA
RNAcentral lists this ribosomal RNA (656 nucleotides) under Phymatotrichopsis omnivora. Its description in RNAcentral is "eukaryotic LSU rRNA". It matches the Rfam family "Eukaryotic large subunit ribosomal RNA", at positions 1 to 659 of the family's 3401-position model. The record is from RNAcentral. Lineage: Eukaryota; Fungi; Ascomycota; Pezizomycetes; Pezizales; Rhizinaceae.